CUCUGAGACAGGUGCUGCAUGGCUGUCGUCAGCUCGUGUUGUGAAAUGUUGGGUUAAGUCCCGCAACGAGCGCAACCCUUAUCCUUGUUUGCCAGCGAGUAAUGUCGGGAACUCCAGGGAGACUGCCGGUGAUAAACCGGAGGAAGGUGGGGACGACGUCAAGUCAUCAUGGCCCUUACGAGUAGGGCUACACACGUGCUACAAUGGCGCAUACAGAGGGCAGCAAGCUAGCGAUAGUGAGCGAAUCCCAAAAAGUGCGUCGUAGUCCGGAUUGGAGUCUGCAACUCGACUCCAUGAAGUCGGAAUCGCUAGUAAUCGUGAAUCAGAAUGUCACGGUGAAUACGUUCCCGGGCCUUGUACACACCGCCCGUCACACCAUGGGAGUGGGCUGCAAAAGAAGUGGGUAGUUUAACCUUUCGGGGAGGACGCUCACCACUUUGUGGUUCAUGACUGGGGUGAAGUCGUAACAAGGUAGCCCUAGGGGAACCUGGGGCUGGAUCACCUCCUUAUACGAAGAUA
RNAcentral lists this ribosomal RNA (519 nucleotides) under Vibrio crassostreae 9ZC13. RNAcentral describes it as "bacterial SSU rRNA". It matches the Rfam family "Bacterial small subunit ribosomal RNA", at positions 1027 to 1533 of the family's 1533-position model. The record is from RNAcentral. Lineage: Bacteria; Pseudomonadati; Pseudomonadota; Gammaproteobacteria; Vibrionales; Vibrionaceae.